UGCUUGUUAGCGAAUAUGGGGAUGCCGCGGCGGCUUUCAAGCGGCCGGCUUGGCUUUCGAGACGACAACGAGCGCC
RNAcentral lists this transfer RNA (76 nucleotides) under Zoogloea oryzae. Its description in RNAcentral is "tRNA-Leu". The record is from RNAcentral. Lineage: Bacteria; Pseudomonadati; Pseudomonadota; Betaproteobacteria; Rhodocyclales; Zoogloeaceae.